AAUGAACGUUGGCGGCGUGGAUUAGGCAUGCAAGUCGUGCGGAAAGGCCCCGCAAGGGGUACUCGAGCGGCGAAAGGGAUAGUAACGCGUAGGUCACCUACCCUCGGGACGGGGAUAGCUGGGGGAAACUCCAAUUAAUACCCGAUAACAUCUCCGGAUCAAAGGUGUGAUUCCGCCUGAGGACGGGCCUGCGUCCUAUCAGCUAGUUGGUGAGGUAACGGCCCACCAAGGCAACGACGGGUAGCGGGUGUGAGAGCACGACCCGCAUCACUGGGACUGAGAUACUGCCCAGACACCUACGGGUGGCUGCAGUCGAGGAUCUUCGGCAAUGGGCGAAAGCCUGACCGAGCGACGCCGCGUGCGGGAUGAGGGCCUUCGGGUUGUAAACCGCUGUCAGUGGGGAGGAAAUCUGGGAGGGAUCACCCUCUCAGUUGACCUAUCCGCAGAGGAAGGACGGGCUAAGUUCGUGCCAGCAGCCGCGGUAAUACGAACCGUCCUAACGUUAUUCGGAAUCACUGGGCUUAAAGGGUGCGUAGGCGGUCCGGUAAGUUGGGUGUGAAAUCCCUCGGCUUAACCGAGGAAUUGCGCUCAAAACUGUCGGACUUGAGGGAGACAGAGGUGAGUGGAACUUAGGGUGGAGCGGUGAAAUGCGUUGAUAUCCUAAGGAACACCGGUGGCGAAAGCGACUCACUGGGUCUCUUCUGACGCUGAGGCACGAAAGCUAGGGUAGCGAACGGGAUUAGAUACCCCGGUAGUCCUAGCCGUAAACGAUGAGCACUAGAUCGAAGGGUACACCAUAGCCUUUUGGUCGUAGCGAAAGUGUUAAGUGCUCCGCCUGGGGAGUAUGGUCGCAAGGCUG
Molecule: ribosomal RNA, 859 nt
Filed under: uncultured bacterium
Lineage: Bacteria
Description: bacterial SSU rRNA
Rfam family: Bacterial small subunit ribosomal RNA
Source: RNAcentral